This 403-nucleotide ribosomal RNA is filed under the name Verrucomicrobiota bacterium. Its description in RNAcentral is "Verrucomicrobia bacterium partial 16S ribosomal RNA". It matches the Rfam family "Bacterial small subunit ribosomal RNA", at positions 355 to 776 of the family's 1533-position model. Lineage: Bacteria; Pseudomonadati; Verrucomicrobiota. The record is from RNAcentral.
UGGGGAAUAUUGCACAAUGGGGGAAACCCUGAUGCAGCGACGCCGCGUGAGCGAAGAAGGUUUUCGAUUCGUAAAGCUCUGUCCUAUGAGAAGAUAAUGACGGUAUCAUAGGAGGAAGCCCCGGCUAAAUACGUGCCAGCAGCCGCGGUAAUACGUAUGGGGCGAGCGUUGUCCGGAAUUAUUGGGCGUAAAGGGUACGUAGGCGGUCUAUUAAGUCAGGUGUGAAAGCGUGAGGCUUAACCUCAUUAAGCACUUGAAACUGAUAGACUUGAGUGAAGGAGAGGAAAGUGGAAUUCCUAGUGUAGCGGUGAAAUGCGUAGAUAUUAGGAGGAAUACCGGUGGCGAAGGCGACUUUCUGGACUUUUACUGACGCUCAGGUACGAAAGCGUGGGGGGCAAACAGG